This is a long non-coding RNA of Mauremys reevesii (Reeves's turtle), 1106 nucleotides long. RefSeq lists it as uncharacterized. The transcript is spliced from 4 exons. The record is from RefSeq and is a predicted model, not a curated record. Lineage: Eukaryota; Metazoa; Chordata; Testudines; Geoemydidae.
GACGUUAGUUAUAAGAGACUAGCUAAUACAGUUUAUUUUGGAGCAGUCCUCUGAAGCCAUCUUGAGGGAUAUUUUUCUGACACCUUUUCUCCCCAGAUGAUGGAAUUCCUGUGUUCCCAUUGAUUUAUUCCUGAGACCGCCUGAAGUGAAAUUGUUAAGUUACCACUGCUGUGGGUUCUGAAAACCCUGGACAACACAGGGGUUGAGCAGCUGGGGACUGAGCUUCUGAAGACCCGCCAGAUGAGGUCAACAACCUACAGGAGGCACCAGGUGGAAGAGAAAAUUGCAUCACCACACCCAGCCGAGAGGAGGUGCUCAUAAGAGGCACUGAGGAGGGGGACCUUUGAACAGCUCGCCCAAGGAACAAUACUCCUUUCUACCUGUUUCCAAUGAUGGCUGCUGUACCUGAUUCACUGGUCGAGGACUUUGGUCUCUGGUGAAGAACAAGCUCAAGAGCCCAGCAUAGAGCCAUGGUUCACUGGAGCACUAGUAGAAAGUAGUUGAGCCAUCUUGGCAGGAUUUUGAACCUCAGGUUCUGAAGCUCUCACUGAGCAAUCCAGAAGGAAGAGUUUCAUCUGGGCUUCCCUGCCUUUAUGUAUCCUUUUGGAAAAGAAGCAGCAGAUUAACCAUUUAUCAGGAAUAUGUCCAUUGCAAAGGCAGAAGAGGCACAUAGAAUGUCCAUCACUGAGCAACACAGUAGCAUCAGUAGAGAGACAAGUUUUAAACCUUCAUGUUUUGCUAUCCCUGCUUAGGUCAGGAACUAUAAUAUGAUUAAAAAUAGCACAGGGACAGGGACUUUCAGGCAACUGCUGUGGAGCUGUCUGAAUUGUGCACAGCUCUCUGUUAUGCAUGGUAUUUCAUAUUUCUCUUUUAACCACUUUCCUGCAUACCUGUCUUACCCCUGGAAGCAGUCUUCAGAAUGUAUGUAACUUCAUAAAAACAAUGCUGAAAAAUAAAGCAAAUAUGUUUUGUUGCUUAUAGCUUCCUUUCAAAGCAAAUCAAAGACAAAAGGCUGCAUUUUUCCCUCACUAAAUCCAUGUCUCAUUGUCCAGUCUAUUUUAGCUCUGCCAGGUGUGUCAAUGGCUGGAAAGAAACAUUGACAUAAA